GUUUCCUCUCAGGAAACUCAGCUCCUGAGUUUGACCUUUUUCUUUAAUUUGUUACAGCUGACCAUUUUCUAAUGUGAUAGCUUUUGAGUGUUUAGAGGUUUAUGCACCUAUUUGUACUUAGGCUUUGUAGGCUUCCCAAAGGUAUAAAGAGGCUCUUCGGUUCAAUAUCUCUUUCUACCUUUGCAAAGCCUAUGAAGAUUAACUGUGUCUUCUCCCAGGGAUAUGGUUCCCAGAGUCUCUGAGCCUUUGGUUCUGUAUGGAAUUUGAUUUAUGACUCUGUGUGGUGCCCAGAUUAAUGAGCCUAUCCCUUUAUUUGAUUAAAAAGCACUACUUUAGGCACUGAGGACACAAGAAGUAUGGUGACUCCUGUCUGAAAGCUUAUUUUGAUGUCUACAUUCUGGAAAGCAGUUUGGAACUAUGCAAAAAGAGUUACUAAAUGAUUUGUGCCCUUCAGCCUGCUGUUGGAUUUAUAUACCAAGUAGAUAUCUAUGAGGAUUGUUUAUAUAGAUGGAAAAAAUUCACCAACUGGACGACUACGAGAAGGGAUACUCUCUCCCAGGAUACCCCUGCUUAUGGAUAUGGAUGUCACCAGCCUUGUCUCCCACCAGAGACAAGCUCUUUAGUUACUGCCCUCAGCUCUGUCCCUGGAAAGGACUUUUUAAAAAAAGAAACUGUGAAAGGAAGCAAUGAAGAAAGCAGUGGAGGCACAAAAUGUCCCACUACUACUCCUGCCAAAGAAGCAAUUGCACUUUUUUAGCUCUGGAAGAGAAGCCUUAGAUGCAUGUUUGCCCUACUUCCACUUUGGGAAAUAUAUAAUAAAAAUUUAUAUUAAUUAUAAUUCUCUCA
RNAcentral lists this long non-coding RNA (846 nucleotides) under Monodelphis domestica (gray short-tailed opossum). RNAcentral describes it as "lncRNA (ENSMODG00000040619.1)". The record is from RNAcentral. Lineage: Eukaryota; Metazoa; Chordata; Mammalia; Didelphimorphia; Didelphidae.